AUUGAACGCUGGCGGCAUGCCUUACACAUGCAAGUCGAACGGCAGCACGGGUGCUUGCACCUGGUGGCGAGUGGCGAACGGGUGAGUAAUACAUCGGAACAUGUCCUGUAGUGGGAGAUAGCCCGGCGAAAGCCGGAUUAAUACCGCAUACGAUCUACGGAUGAAAGCGGGGGACCUUCGGGCCUCGCGCUAUAGGGUUGGCCGAUGGCUGAUUAGCUAGUUGGUGGGGUAAAGGCCUACCAAGGCGACGAUCAGUAGCUGGUCUGAGAGGACGACCAGCCACACUGGGACUGAGACACGGCCCAGACUCCUACGGGAGGCAGCAGUGGGGAAUUUUGGACAAUGGGCGAAAGCCUGAUCCAGCAAUGCCGCGUGUGUGAAGAAGGCCUUCGGGUUGUAAAGCACUUUUGUCCGGAAAGAAAUCCUUGGCCCUAAUACGGUCGGGGGAUGACGGUACCGGAAGAAUAAGCACCGGCUAACUACGUG
RNAcentral lists this ribosomal RNA (486 nucleotides) under uncultured bacterium. Its description in RNAcentral is "partial 16S ribosomal RNA". It matches the Rfam family "Bacterial small subunit ribosomal RNA", at positions 30 to 507 of the family's 1533-position model. The record is from RNAcentral.